RNAcentral lists this ribosomal RNA (224 nucleotides) under uncultured bacterium. Its description in RNAcentral is "partial 16S ribosomal RNA". It matches the Rfam family "Bacterial small subunit ribosomal RNA", at positions 28 to 252 of the family's 1533-position model. The record is from RNAcentral.
GACGAACGCUGGCGGCGUGCUUAACACAUGCAAGUCGAGCGGUAAGGCCCUUUCGGGGGUACGACGAGCGGCGAACGGGUGAGUAACACGUGGGUGACCUGCCCUUAGCUCUGGGAUAAGCCUGGGAAACUGGGUCUAAUACCGGAUAUGACUCCAUGACGCAUGUUGUGGGGUGGAAAGCCUUGUGCGGCUAGGGAUGGGCCCGCGGCCUAUCAGCUUGUUGG